RNAcentral lists this small nuclear RNA (24 nucleotides) under Arabidopsis thaliana (thale cress). RNAcentral's name for it is "snRNA_01408". The record is from RNAcentral. Lineage: Eukaryota; Viridiplantae; Streptophyta; Magnoliopsida; Brassicales; Brassicaceae.
GGAACCGAUGUGCUUUCAUGGGAG